AAGUCGUAACAAGGUCUCCGUAGGUGAACCUGCGGAGGGAUCAUUAACACGUGUAAAAACGUAUUAUUUGCUAUCUAUAUCUUUACCCAUACCGUGAACUAUGUGCCAUUUAUUGAUUUUUUUAUAUGACUUUUUUUAUUUUCUAUGUUAUAUUUCAUUAUAUAGCAUAGAGAAUGGGAAAGUUUGCAAACCCUUUUCCAAAACCUUUCUUUUUUUUAUUUUUUUUGUUCUCUUUUGUUUUGUUGUUGUGUGUUUUUUACAUACAAUGUCGAAAUGAAAGGAAUGAAAGUAAUAUAAUAAAAAAUGACUAGCACAACUCUUAGCAACGGAUAUCUUGGUUCUC
This 343-nucleotide unclassified non-coding RNA is filed under the name fungal sp. RNAcentral describes it as "partial internal transcribed spacer region". The stretch from base 1 to 46 matches the Rfam family "Eukaryotic small subunit ribosomal RNA", at positions 1786 to 1831 of the family's 1831-position model. The record is from RNAcentral. Lineage: Eukaryota; Fungi.